RNAcentral lists this long non-coding RNA (4569 nucleotides) under Triticum aestivum (bread wheat). Its description in RNAcentral is "long non-coding RNA (TAES_LNC004767)". The record is from RNAcentral. Lineage: Eukaryota; Viridiplantae; Streptophyta; Magnoliopsida; Poales; Poaceae.
UUUUGCAUUAACCCGAAAGAAUCUCCUUAUAAUUGAGUGUGCAGUAAAGGGGGUUGUUACACCAAAUCCCUCUGGUGAAGCUCUAUCCAACUGCUUGUUAAUAGCGGAUUGGGUAUUGGUCGAUCGAAAGCUGUGAUACGCAAAAUCCUCAGCAGAAUGAAAUGCGGACUACAAUUAAGUUAGUUGAAAAAGAGAGUAAGGAAUGGGACCGUCAACAGGAACUCUUGAAUUGAGGGUUUUUCACACUACCUAUAGAGAGAUUGAACCAACACGGUGCCCACGGUAACUCCUCCACCCGUACUGUUUGCUUUCGUGGGGCUUUGCUGCGCUUUGGAUCUUAUCAGGUGGCAACCACCUUCGGUUCUAGACUCUGGCACUUCCCCUGGCUGUGGCACUUUCACUGCCGCCUACUCCUACUAUUGGGUCGGUUGUGGUUGGUGUUUUUAUUCAAAAGUGGAGAAUAGAUUGUUCAUUGCGAAGGAAAUCAGAAAUCUACAUACAAGGGUCANNNNNNNNNNAUAUAGCUGUUUUGCCUUCUUUCUUGGACUCUCAGGUGAGCGCUUAGGCCAAGCCACAAUUACCAAGGCAUGAUUGAAUCCGCCAAAGAGAAGGGAAUAGAUGAUCUCACUGGAAAAAGUUGCGUAACCCCCCCCCCCCGUUUUUUUGGCAUGAUUUCAAGAUUUUGACCUGAUUUAUGAGAAAAGAACUUAGUUUUGCAUUAACCCGAAAGAAUCUCCUUAUAAUUGAGUGUGCAGUAAAGGGGGUUGUUACACCAAAUCCCUCUGGUGAAGCUCUAUCCAACUGCUUGUUAAUAGCGGAUUGGGUAUUGGUCGAUCAAAAGCUGUGAUACGCAAAAUCCUCAGCAGAAUGAAAUGCGGACUACAAUUAAGUUAGUUGAAAAAGAGAGUAAGGAAUGGGACCGUCAACAGGAACUCUUGAAUUGAGGGUUUUUCACACUACCUAUAGAGAGAUUGAACCAACACGGUGCCCACGGUAACUCCUCCACCCGUACUGUUUGCUUUCGUGGGGCUUUGCUACGCUUUGGAUCUUAUCAGGUGGCAACCACCUUCGGUUCUAGACUCUGGCACUUCCCCUGGCUGUGGCACUUUCACUGCCGCCUACUCCUACUAUUGGGUCGGUUGUGGUUGGUGUUUUGAUUCAAAAGUGGAGAAUAGAUUGUUCAUUGCGAAGGAAAUCAGAAAUCUACAUACAAGGGUCAAGAUGUAAGCUCAAGUUAAGUGGACGGGUCCAAAGAUCAGGGAAAAGGGUAGACCGGGACAUGGUUGCAAGGGCUAUAUAUCUAUAUAGUUACAAAUGAAUGAAAACGCCAUGCUUAAAGCCAAAAGAAUAAGCUCUUGAUACGGAUCUCUUUCAUCUUGUAAAUAAAGUAGGGGCGUCCCUAACUACAGCUUCCUACCAUAAGUAAGACAUUCAGCUAAUACUGAAGAAAUCUUCUUCUGGGGACACCUCUCUAAAAUAAGAAUGAUGGUGUUUUAAAUCUUAUUCGUUUUCUGAUCGAGAAAUGCGAGAAUGUAGUUAUUUUUAUGAAACCGGAUAUUCAACAUGCUUUCCUCGACCAGAUCUAUUUACGGGAGUCGUAUUUCGAACUGACCCCGGGUCUGAUCUAGAAAUGGUAAAUCCUAUUUGAUCUUCAAGGUUAAGUACUUCUGCGAGACUAUCAGCAUCUUAUCUGGUUGAUAGCACUCAACCCACUGACUAUACGUUUUAUAUGGGAGCCCUAACUCCACCAUGCAAUUCAACAAGCUGAGGACGGAGAAGUCAACCGGUCUCACGUUUUCUUCUUUUCUUUUUAAAGAACCUGCCCCGAAGGAAAGCAUAUUAUAGGGGAAGAGCUAGCUUCAUUCGAGCUGGAUGGGCUAAAAGCUUUCGUUGAGACAAAGCAGGCAAAAAAAAAGUUCGAGAACAGGAUAACUAACGUUUGGAACCAAGAGAUCUCAUAGUUCUUCAAGUGAGAAGCUAAGAAGGGAUGACACCCAUUUGACCUAGAAGACCGAUGAUCAAGUGUCAAAUUCUAAGCCAAGAGAUGGCAAUGGGACUAUAGGAGCACGGUACUAAACCAUCAUACCAUACCGGUGACUUCACCAACCGAAACCAACUCAAAUAAGUUCAGGGAGGAAAAGAAGACGGUCAUGAUAGAUUGGUGAAUGAGGAAGGAAAAGAAAGCCUAAACUAUCCAAGUAAGAUAGCGAAAGAGAAAGCUGUCUUUAAAGCCUGUUUUGACCAAGCAAGCAAGCUGGAGCACCUUUCACGCUAGCUUCCCAUCGCUCGAAGUACACUUCCGGUGCACUUCUCACUGAUCAACCACUUUAUCUUUAACCUAACCGCCUUCUAAAACUUCCACGGGAAAGCCAGUAGAGUAUGCCUUGGUUUAAGAGAGGAGCUCAGGUCCAUCUUGUGCUCACAAUACAUCUUAUUUAGCAGGACCUCUGGGCUCUUUAGAGAAAGGCGAAGUCUCUACUUGUUAACCAUGGAUGCCUGUUAUAUUGAGUUAUAGAGUGAAGAACAAGCCCACUUUCCAUAUCCCUUUCGUCCGGAUGAUCGAUUGCCUCAUUCUUCUUCGAAAAUAAGUGCAUUUGGCCAUUGUGUUUUUCCAACUUUCGUAAUAGAUCUGGGCAUGCAUGGUUUUCAAUAGAUAACCCUAGGCCUUCUUCGUUUCCCCACGGGCAUUCACUUCUCUUCAAGCUCGGGAUUAGCGAAACAUGGAUCCGACGCCCAUCUCUUUUUCCACUUUGCAAGGCUGAGAGACUUUACCAAUUGAUAAAAAAAAGCAUGAGCAGGAUCAGCAGAGGCAAAAUCGAAUAAAAUGGCUUAUUUGCACCUUUCUUUGGUAGGCAACGAAUCUCACGGAAUGUGGGAAUCUUUUACAGAUGUGAAUUCUCGCUUUAACGCUUCGAUAACAUACUUAUCAUCAGGUAUCUUCGGGAGCGGGGCUCGCCCUCAACAGAUAUUGUCUUUGCUUCCGCUGAUGUCGCGUCAAUUGCCCGAGGGAGCAUAACACAGCAAGCCGCAAUGAACAUGCCCGCCGCAUCUCGGAUAAUUGCUCCAGUUGCGCCAAUUCCAGUACCCGAGACAGAAAGCAGCAUCCACGUGAACUUUGACUGUUCAUAAUAUGGGAAAUUCCGAGGUGAAGGAUGCCUGCUCAGGUCAUGAUAUCACUGAUCCAAACUAUGCUACACCAAAUCUGAAUCCUGACUAGUUAGCGAAUCGUGUGCUCUGUGCGAAUGUCUUUAUUAGUCUAUUUCAUUUAAGCCCAAAGGAUCUUCGAAUACCGACUGGUCGUCCCAAUCCAAUCUCCCUUCUGCUUAUUCCAAUUUUUCCUAUUCCUAGCGAAUCAAAUGAGAUUUCUGUUCUUCCAUCAAGAGGAGAUAGUUAUCGAUAAAGCAAAAACGAACCUAUUGACAUAGAAUGCAAUCGAAAUAGAGACAACUAGGCGAAAAAAAGACCGAAAUAAGAAACUUCUACUCCCUAGGUGGUUAUUUGCCGCAUAAGACAGCGGUGGAAGCUGAAGGAAAGAGUGGGCUUUGAAUCUAGGUAUGCUUUCUAAGGAUUGCGCUGCGCCUAGCCUACCUUUACGAACAUACCUCUGUCUUUCAAACAAAGCCCUGUGUGUGGAACUACUUAGAUUUGUUUUCGAAUUGCUUUUCUCGGGCCAUCGAGAAGUCAGUCAGCGGUUGGCUUGAGUCCUCAAGUUGGUCUUUAAGACUUAGCAGGGCCCUACACACAGUACACCUUAGUAGAAGGUAGAUUUCUCUCACCCUAUGUGCAAUCAAGCUCAGAGACUUGAGCCGCAGAAUUCCUUGCCCACUGACUGAAGAAGCUCCCUACAGUGUCCAAAUCGAGGGAUCAAUCCAACAAUCUUCUCCUUUACUCAAAGGAGUAGGUGGAAGAGUUAUGAGAGAAAUCAAGCGAUAGUGCUUGACCAGUGAGAAGUGCACCGGAAGUGUACUUCGAGCGAUGGGAAGCUAGCCUGAAAAGGUAGAGCAGAGGUGCUAACAAUAAUAAGAAUCUUUCAUCCUGCAAGUUACUCAUAAUUGAGAACUGGUAAUGUGGAUUUUGUUCCAUGCAGCUACACCUUUUCGAAAGCAAAUUCGAGGAAAUCGCUUCUUUCUUCCCAUCCCGACCUGUAUCACUUGACUUUUAGAUUGGCAAACUAAUACCAGGUUGAUGACUUCACUUCUCUUGGGAACUUGCUUCUUCCUUCACCGAAGUUAGUAGUUAGCUUUUAUGGGCAAGGUGCCAUACUGGGAAUCCAGUCAAAUGGGCCAAAGCAAUCCAAGGCAGAAGGCCCGUUUUAAAUAACUAAUCUCGUGCUCACAGCCACGCCUGCUGGGCUUGCCCACAACACGCCUUAUCUAUAGCGCAAACAUCCACUAAAAAGGGUUGCUCCCGUGAGGAUUCGACCACGCGACGUCAAGUCCCCGUUCUAGUCAACUAACCACUAGAGCAACCAAUCACUCGUGAAUACUUUCAGCAUGAAACAUUUAAGAAUAAGUAAAGCCACGCUAUUUAUUGCACACAGAUUUGGGAAAAUGUGAUUUUUUUUGGAAG